AUUAGUGCAAUGAACUUAAGAUUCAUAUAUAAAUAUUUUUAUUUUGUUGAAAA
RNAcentral lists this transfer RNA (53 nucleotides) under Exitianus exitiosus. Its description in RNAcentral is "partial tRNA-Leu". The record is from RNAcentral. Lineage: Eukaryota; Metazoa; Arthropoda; Insecta; Hemiptera; Cicadellidae.